This 1419-nucleotide ribosomal RNA is filed under the name Pseudonocardia sp. UKMCC_PT5. RNAcentral's name for it is "16S ribosomal RNA". It matches the Rfam family "Bacterial small subunit ribosomal RNA". The record is from RNAcentral. Lineage: Bacteria; Bacillati; Actinomycetota; Actinomycetes; Pseudonocardiales; Pseudonocardiaceae.
UGGCGGCUUGCUACACAUGCAAGUCGAGCGGUAAGGCCCUUUCGGGGGUACACGAGCGGCGAACGGGUGAGUAACACGUGGGUGACCUGCCCUCCACUCUGGGAUAAGCCCGGGAAACUGGGUCUAAUACCGGAUAGGACCACUGAUCGCAUGGUUGGUGGUGGAAAGUUUUUUCGGUGGGGGAUGGGCCCGCGGCCUAUCAGCUUGUUGGUGGGGUGAUGGCCUACCAAGGCGGUGACGGGUAGCCGGCCUGAGAGGGCGGAACCCGGCCCACCCACCCUGGGACUGAGACCACCGGCCCCAGACCUCCUACGGGAGGCAGCAGUUGGGGAAUAUUGCGCAAUGGGCGGAAGCCCUGACGCAGCGACGCCGCGUGGGGGAUGACGGCCUUCGGGUUGUAAACCUCUUUCGCCAGGGACGAAGAGCAAUUGACGGUACCUGGAGAAGAAGCACCGGCCAACUACGUGCCAGCAGCCGCGGUAACACGUAGGGUGCGAGCGUUGUCCGGAAUUAUUGGGCGUAAAGAGCUCGUAGGCGGUGUGUCGCGUCGGCCGUGAAAACUUGGGGCUUAACUCUGAGCGUGCGGUCGAUACGGGCAUCACUUGAGUUCGGCAGGGGAGACUGGAAUUCCUGGUGUAGCGGUGAAAUGCGCAGAUAUCAGGAGGAACACCGGUGGCGAAGGCGGGUCUCUGGGCCGAUACUGACGCUGAGGAGCGAAAGCGUGGGGAGCGAACAGGAUUAGAUACCCUGGUAGUCCACGCCGUAAACGUUGGGCGCUAGGUGUGGGGACCAUUCCACGGUUUCUGUGCCGCAGCUAACGCAUUAAGCGCCCCGCCUGGGGAGUACGGCCGCAAGGCUAAAACUCAAAGGAAUUGACGGGGGCCCGCACAAGCGGCGGAGCAUGUGGAUUAAUUCGAUGCAACGCGAAGAACCUUACCUGGGUUUGACAUGCACCAGACAUCCCUAGAGAUAGGGCUUCCCUUGUGGUUGGUGUGCAGGUGGUGCAUGGCUGUCGUCAGCUCGUGUCGUGAGAUGUUGGGUUAAGUCCCGCAACGAGCGCAACCCUUGUUCCAUGUUGCCAGCACGUAAUGGUGGGGACUCAUGGGAGACUGCCGGGGUCAACUCGGAGGAAGGUGGGGAUGACGUCAAGUCAUCAUGCCCCUUAUGUCCAGGGCUUCACACAUGCUACAAUGGCUCAUACAGAGGGCUGCGAGACCGUGAGGUGGAGCGAAUCCCUUAAAGUGAGUCUCAGUUCGGAUCGGGGUCUGCAACUCGACCCCGUGAAGUUGGAGUCGCUAGUAAUCGCAGAUCAGCAACGCUGCGGUGAAUACGUUCCCGGGCCUUGUACACACCGCCCGUCACGUCACGAAAGUUGGUAACACCCGAAGCCGGCGGCCCAACCCUUGUGGAGGGAGCUUC